CUCCUUUGACGUUAGCGGCGGACGGGUGAGUAACACGUGGGUAACCUACCUAUAAGACUGGGAUAACUUCGGGAAACCGGAGCUAAUACCGGAUAAUAUUUCGAACCGCAUGGUUCGAUAGUGAAAGGUGGUUUUGCUAUCACUUAUAGAUGGACCCGCGCCGUAUUAGCUAGUUGGUAAGGUAACGGCUUACCAAGGCGACGAUACGUAGCCGACCUGACGAGGGUGAUCGGCCACUACUUGAACUGAGACACGGGUCCAGACUCCUACGGGAGGCAGCAGGU
This 284-nucleotide ribosomal RNA is filed under the name uncultured Staphylococcus sp. RNAcentral's name for it is "partial 16S ribosomal RNA". It matches the Rfam family "Bacterial small subunit ribosomal RNA", at positions 81 to 354 of the family's 1533-position model. The record is from RNAcentral. Lineage: Bacteria; Bacillati; Bacillota; Bacilli; Caryophanales; Staphylococcaceae.